CUGGCCUAACCAGAUGUUCUGGGGUCUCUCUUGCCUGCAAUCUUCUUGGCUGGUGGCUGGAACUUUAAAGAAAGAGAUCCAUGGGCAGUGGGAAGAGUGGACUGAGAGGCAGGCAGCCGGGGGCCCGCCCUGCGUAUGCUGGGGAAAGAAGAGCCGCGGCAUGUCUAAGCUGAAAGGCCUCCCAAACCCCUGAAUCCCACCGUUUCCCAAAUGAGCAUAAUGAGGCCAAGAGAGGGCAAGGCACUUAUCCAAGGCCACAAGCAAGCUGGGGACCAGGACCACAUCAGCUGCCCCAUGGUAGCGCCCGAAGGAACCCUCUCACGGGAGAGCAGGACGCAGCCAGAUCCUCAGAAGACAAGGGUGAGAGAGAUGCGUUUCCAAGUGGGACGUGAAGACGCCUGGCAGGAGACAUCCCCGCAGGAGGAGCAGUGGGAACGAGUUUCCUUCUUUAGGACUCUGUGCUUCCCUUGCCCUACAACAGACCCUAUGUUCAGUCCAGCCUCUUGGUGGCAGACAAGGAAGCAGAGGCCCGGAGAUGUCAAGGGACUUGGCCCAGGUCACAGAGGCAGCCAUAGCAGGGCCGUCCUUGGACCUCCGUUUCCCAACUUGAAGCCCAACCCAGAGCCUCCUCUCCUUGGGCAGAUCUUAGACCCAGAUGAAGAAGUGAGGGAAGCUGUCCUGUUCGUCCUCUCUGGACCCGACAAACAUUCCUACAAGGGGUAACUUU
RNAcentral lists this long non-coding RNA (727 nucleotides) under Equus asinus (donkey). Its description in RNAcentral is "lncRNA (ENSEASG00005036755.1)". Lineage: Eukaryota; Metazoa; Chordata; Mammalia; Perissodactyla; Equidae. The record is from RNAcentral.